Molecule: ribosomal RNA, 823 nt
Filed under: alpha proteobacterium SCGC AAA008-M19
Lineage: Bacteria; Pseudomonadati; Pseudomonadota; Alphaproteobacteria
Description: SSU rRNA
Rfam family: Bacterial small subunit ribosomal RNA
Source: RNAcentral
GCUGGCGGCACGCCUAACACAUGCAAGUCGAACGAAGUAGCAAUACUUAGUGGCAAACGGGUGAGUAACAUGUGGGUAUCUGCCCUUCGGCCUGGAAUAACACGAGGAAACUUGUGCUAAUACCAGAUAAGUCUUUUAAGAGAAAGCUUUAUGCACCGAUGGAUGAGCCCGCACCUGAUUAGUUAGUUGGUGAGGUAAUAGCUCACCAAGACAAUGAUCAGUAGCUGAUUUGAGAGGAUGAUCAGCCACAUUGGGACUGAGACACGGCCCAAACUCCUACGGGAGGCAGCAGUGGGGAAUCUUGCACAAUGGGGGAAACCCUGAUGCAGCGAUGCCGCGUGAGUGAAGAAGGCCUUUGGGUUGUAAAGCUCUUUCGUCGGGGAAGAAAAUGACUGUACCCGAAUAAGAAGGUCCGGCUAACUUCGUGCCAGCAGCCGCGGUAAUACGAAGGGACCUAGCGUAGUUCGGAAUUACUGGGCUUAAAGAGUUCGUAGGUGGUUAAAAUAGUUGGUGGUGAAAUCCCAGAGCUUAACUCUGGAACUGCCAUCAAAACUUUUUAGCUAGAGUAUGAUAGAGGAAAGUAGAAUUUCUAGUGUAGAGGUGAAAUUCGUAGAUAUUAGAAAGAAUACCAAUUGCGAAGGCAGCUUUCUGGAUCAUUACUGACACUGAGGAACGAAAGCAUGGGUAGCGAAGAGGAUUAGAUACCCUCGUAGUCCAUGCCGUAAACGAUGUGUGCUAGACGUUGGAAAUUUUAUUUUCAGUGUCGCAGCGAAGCGAUAGCACACCGGCCUGCGAGUACGACGCAAGUAAACCAAUGGAUAGU